CCCACCGCCUACCCGCUUUCUCUCUCUUCUACUUUCAUGAAACCCUAGCAGCUGUCUUAGUUUUCCUCGCCUCUCUCAUGCCAAAAAUGGCAUAUUUACAGACCUGGGCUGCAAUGCACAGCAUUUGCAUGCUUAUUGUGGUUAAAGUGCUAAAGUUUUACUCAUUUUUCAUGUUCUUUCUACCCGACUAUGGUUUGGAGGCACAAAGGCUCCCAAAUCCAUUAUUUUCCUGGCUGCACAUAUAAAAGGUUUGUGCGGCAUCAGGAAUAAAGGGGGGUGAUGACUUGGCCUUCCACCACCUAGUUUGGGGUUUGAGUUUAAGGACAUGAAAAACGCAUAUGCACAUCAUAUGAGCUUAUGAAUAAAUAUGAUAAGUUGCUUGUACAUGUGUAUAAUUAAGUAUAGAAUAGAACUUGUAAACAAUAGUGCAUUGUGUAUAUUGUGUGUGUGUAUCAUGUGUAUGAUAGGAACAGUAAAAUAUAAACUAAUCGGAAUUUUUUGUUUCUUUCCCCCUCUCCACUGUAUGGCCACUUGGUUGGUCCAGCCACCCUAUUGGGUCAAAAGCCCAAUAGGUAAAAUUCUUUCAAGUGUUGUUGAGUCCAAAAGGAAAGAAAGGGAAGCUAAUAUUUUGAAGGCCCAGUCAUGGGUAAAAAUGACACGAAGGUCCAGCCAUGGGUGAAAAUGGUUGGGGUUUGGUACACCCCAAUUUUCUUUCUUCAUUAUAUUUUCUCUAUUAGCUUAAAUUGCUUUCGUGUAUUGUAUUCAUUAUUUGUAAAA
Lycium barbarum (goji berry) is the source of this 777-nucleotide long non-coding RNA. RefSeq lists it as uncharacterized. The transcript is spliced from 3 exons. The record is from RefSeq and is a predicted model, not a curated record. Lineage: Eukaryota; Viridiplantae; Streptophyta; Magnoliopsida; Solanales; Solanaceae.